RNAcentral lists this ribosomal RNA (460 nucleotides) under uncultured bacterium. Its description in RNAcentral is "partial 16S ribosomal RNA". It matches the Rfam family "Bacterial small subunit ribosomal RNA", at positions 338 to 795 of the family's 1533-position model. The record is from RNAcentral.
CCUACGGGAGGCAGCAGUGAGGAAUAUUGGUCAAUGGGCGGGAGCCUGAACCAGCCAAGUCGCGUGAGGGAAGACUGUCCUACGGAUUGUAAACCUCUUUUGCCGGGGAGCAAAGGGGUCCUUGCGAGGGCCCGAUGAUGGUACCCGGAGAAAAAGCAUCGGCUACCACCGUGCCAGCAGCCGCGGUAAUACGGGGGAGGCGAGCGUUACCCGGAUUCAUUGGGUUUAAGGGGUUCGUGGGCGGGCUGUUAAGUCAGUGGGAAACUGUCGGGGCCCACCCCCGGCUUGCCGUUGAAACUGGCGGCCUCGAGUGGGCGAGAAGUAGGCGGAAUGCGUGGUGUAGCGGUGAAAUGCAUAGAGAUCACGCAGAACUCCGAUUGCGAAGGCAGCAUACCGGCGCCCUACUGACGCUGAGGCACGAAAGCGUGGGUAUCGAACAGGAUUAGAUACCCGAGUAGUC